This 63-nucleotide transfer RNA is filed under the name Tuxedo bicinctus. Its description in RNAcentral is "tRNA-Asp". Lineage: Eukaryota; Metazoa; Arthropoda; Insecta; Hemiptera; Miridae. The record is from RNAcentral.
AAAAGUUAGUUUAAAUAAAACAUUAAUUUGUCAAAUUAAAAACAUUGCCAGCAAUACUUUUUA